UGCCGGCUCUUUAGUAAGCGCGCGCUGGGGUUGGUGACACGAAGAGGGUCUCACUCAGGAUAUUGGCAUCAGUGUCAAGGCCCUGGAGACCGUCAUUGUUUGGAGAACCCAUCCGCGAAUGUAAGGAGAGCAUAGCUGCCGUGCCAGCGGUGAGAAAGUCUCCUGGAAUAUUACAGAGAAGGCAAAGGGCUUUUUGUAGGAUUUAUGUGGUUUACACCAGGAGUAGGCUUCUUACGAUUUUUAUUUCCUCUUCACAACAUUUUGCAGUUUUUCCUCAGAUUGUCAUGUGUGAGGUCACAGCUGCCUGGGUUCUGGAUGAUGGUGUUUCUGCCAGCAUUGUCCACCAAAGGAAGGUCCACUAGAGAAGAAGGGAACUGUGCAAGAAACCAUAACGGAGACGAAAGAGGACAGCAGGAUUAAAAUGGGGUCUGGGGUCCUGGUGCUUGUCCUGGCAGGAUGGACCCUUCAGCAGCCUCGAUGCCAGAUGUAAGGGCCUCACCAUGUGACCACUCGGAGGCCAUCUUGCCUGCUGGACGCAGCCUCCACUCAGAGUCCCCGUGCUCGGCCUCCCCUCCCGGGACGAGCUGUCCCCGGGCUGCCUGUCCUACUUGCGAUGCUUUGACUUACUCCAGUCUCCAGAGGUCACCUGGUUUUCGUGGCAAUGCCGCGCUAACCAGUCUUGGGCUAAGGUACUGCCCCAGCAGCAGUGUGCUCACCCUGAGGUCGCCCAGCGGGGGCUCCCCGGCCCAAUCCAGUGCAGCCACAACCAGCAGCCGCCUCUGCCACAGCAUGGAGAACCUGCACUGGGUGGCGACUUCGGAUCGUGGUGUUUUUGGUGCCCCCUGCCGGAUCAUGGAUGGCGAGUUCAUCUUUCGCUGUGGUGCUCAAUGGGGCAAUGGCACACCUGAGGCCUUGUACCCCUGCAGGGUGCCGCUGAGGCAGGACCUGGCGCUCUUCCCUCAGUGGCUCUUUCCAAGCCUGGAUGAGAGGGUGAAGAAUGGGACUGCCACCAAGGGCCUGAAAGAGAAGUUUCGCUUCCAGAGCGCUGGGGUCACGGAGCCAAACAAGCCCCUGCGCACCCCAACUGGCCAGCGUGACCCCAGGGCCGCCUGCUUGAGGAGCCCAGAGGACAUCAAGCGGGAGGCCCUGCAGAGGCUCCGCCUCUGCCGCCAGAGGAGCUCCCCUGACCUCUCCCUGUGCUGCCCAGCCCACCCUGUGGAGGUGGCCAAGUCUCGCACUGCGGAGUCUCUGUUCCGCCUGAGCCCCCCUGGACCUCGGAACUGCCUGGAGGCUGCGAUAGAACGCAGGCGCCCCCCCUUGGGCCGGCUGCAUAUACCCACAUUCGAGGAGUUUAAGAGGAUGAGGCAGAAAGAGAGCAGGCGAGGUGGGGGCAGCCAGGGCCAGGCUGAGGGUGGGCGAGGCCUGGCUCAGAGUCGGGAGGACUCGUCAGGGGUGGCACUUGCUGGACAGGAAGCCAGUGGGGGCCACAGCGGGGAAGCGGGGGCUGUGAGCACUAACAGGAGCCAUCCCAACAGCGGGCAGCUGGAAGAUGCCGAUGGUGGGACUGCGGGUCAGGUCUUCACGUUGGACAGCAUCACUGUCCCCAUAUGCUCCAGCCCCACACCCCGCUCGCCACUGCAGCCCCGGCCUGCACCCCAAAUGGACCCGACCGGGACCUCUCUCCAGAACCCCAGUGGUGGCCUGGAGGCCCCGUCUGCGUGCUGCGCCUCCCUGCUGCUGGACGGCUCCAGGAUCACCAGGAUUAAGGACGGGGUCAUUGGCUCAGCGAUUGAGCUCAUCAAGAAGAGCUGCAGUGCUGAGGGCCCCGCCUACCAAUCACGUGACCCGGACAGCUCCCGCCCGAGCCAGCAGUCGGAUGCGGUUUCCAUGACGACAGCGGGCCACAGCACAGAGGCACGGAAUGUGCCAGGCGGAGGAGACACGGGAUGCCCGUCCAGCCCAGGGUGCAGGCGGUCCAGCUCGGACGCGGCCUAUGAGCCGCCAGAGUCGGCGAGGGCUCAGCGGGAGCGCCGGCUCCGCCCCCACUUCAGUGACCCAAUGCCGGCAGACGCCGCCAAGCGCAAGCAGCUGGAGAUGAAGAUUGCAGUGGCUGCAAGGCUGCACAGCCUACGGAGGGACAAGGAGGAGGACAGCAGGCCCGUUUCUGAGGCACGGUCAGGAGACAUGGCCGGGGAGGGGCAGCAACGUUGGAGUGACGUCAGCAGCCUGAGUGCUGACAGCGGCGUGGUCGGCCUGGGUGACGAGCGAGAAGAUGAGGAGGAGCCACGGGCAGCUCGACUGGUGACCAGAACUGAGCGGGGGGACAGCGAUGUGGACUCUGAGCAGACUCGGUCCUGGGAGAAGCCCAGCGACCAGUUUGGGAUGUGGCGGACCCACAGGCCCUGCCCUGACUGCAGUCGGAGCGAGCCGGCUCGGGCUGAUGGCAUGUGUGCGCGGUGUCUAAAGCAGCGCACGGAACGCAAGGAGGCAAUCCUGGAGUUGCUGAACACCGAAGCAAGCUACGGCGAAGACCUGCGCAUCAUUAAGGAGGAGUUCUAUAGCCCCAUGCAGGGUGCAGGGCUGCUCACUGCUGAGCAGCUUGUCGUGGUCUUCAGCAACGUGCAGGAGCUCAUCGAUGUCAAUGAGAAGUUCACAGAGCGCCUACAGGAGAGCAUUGAUCGUGCCUUUGAUCAGGGUGAUGAAGACUUGCAGACCGUCUGCAUAGGCGAGAUCUUCUUGGAGUUUGUCACCAUGCUGCCUGCCUUCCAGACCUACUGCCUGCAACAGUCCGCCUCCGUCAACAUGCUCAAUAGCCUGGAGAAGGAAAAGGAGCUUCUCAGGAUCUUCCUAGACGUCUCGCAGAAUGACAACACGGCUCUGCGACGCAUGAACCUGCGUUCCUUCCUGAUGGCCCCGCUGCAGCGCGUCACCAAGUACCCACUGCUGCUGAGUCGCAUCAGCAAGGCCACUGCCGAGUGCCACCCAGACCGCGGGCGCCUGCGUGAGGCCAAGAGCCAUGUGGAGUCCCACCUGGAGCACAUCAACACCAAGACGAGGCAGGAGGGCACCCCUUGGUCUCUGCGCUCCUUCCGCCGGGACAGCCGGCGCAAUCGCGAGGCCGCCAAUGUCGAGAUCCGCGAGGCAUCCAUGCGAACGGUGGGUUGGACGCGGGAGAGCACACGCUUUGUCAUGGAGGGGCCCCUGCAGCUGGCUCAGCCGGCCGACGGUCAGUGGGUGAAGAAGGGCAGCCGGGCCCUCAAGUUCCAGAACGUGCAGAGCCUGCUGAUGGUGCACACGCAGAGGGCAGGCGACGGGCCCCCUGACGGCAUGGAGUCCCCGGAGCCUGUGCGGGAUGGUGUGUUGGUGCUAAUCAAGGACAAGAGCAGCGGCAAGUUUGCCGUGCUGCGGGAGCCUAUCCGGCUCAGCAACUGCGUGGUGUCCUCGGACCCCGAGUGUGACGACACCUUCGAGCUGCUGGACAUCCCCCGCGAGGCCUUUGUGUUCCGCGCCGUGGACAAAGCCCGUACCCAGCAGUGGUUCCGGCAGAUCCGGCGGUACGCUCGUGACUUGGGGCCCUGGAGGAAAAGGCGAAAUGCGCUCCCAAACAUCAUGAUCAACACGGCACAGAGCCGCUCCUGAGCCUGAGGGGAACCUCAAAAUACCCGGUUAGCUGUAGCUUGUCCAUGCUAGGAAGAUGGCAGUCCUCAGUGAAUUGUGCUGUGUCCCUGACGUGCAGACCUGUUAGGGGACUCCGCUGGCCUCAAUUCCGAGAAUUAUUUGCUGCCACAAAAAGUUACUUCUGUUGAAGAGCAUGAUUGUAAAAUAGACCUACGUUAGUGAGAAUGCUCAAACAAGUGUAAAACUGUAUGUAGCUUAUUCACAAAGAACAGAUUCUUUCUUUUUCCUUUGUUGAAUGAAAUAUACCAUGAGAUUUACCAGCCCAUGUUCCCCUAUUAAGCUGGACAGGCAGCACUUCUCAUACUCUUUUUUUAUUUAACUGCAAGUUGUCGUAAAGCCAAACAACUACAGGAAAUUCGAGGCUCAGUGCUAGUUAGGCUUAAUGCAGCCACUCCCGCAUACGGCACUCACAGAUAACCUGGGCUGAGGCCCCCCAGUGGUGAUGUAUGGUACAUGCUUCUACGCAGUCUGUGUAUAUCUCUGCUACACGUCAGACCCAAGGUCAACUCGGCCAGCGUGCUGUCCACCAUGUGACCAGGACCUACUGUGCAGUCUUUGACAUGUCUCUGUCUCUGACACUGAUGGAGUGUUUUUCAUUUUUUUUUUAUGAGAAGUCUAAGUCACCUGUUUUCAUACUCCACUGACAGUCUUCAUUUAGUGGAUCAUCAGUUUGCAACAUACACUGUACAACACUGUACGUUUGAUCGCUCGUUUGUUUUACCUUAAAUGUCUCUGUACGUUAUGAGUGCGGAUUUUUGUUUUGGGCACUUUAAAACAAGCAUAUCAUAGCAAGAUAGCACUGUACUGAGGUCCUGAUUCCCAGCAGCUCAUCCUCACCUCUACUGAAGAAUGCAUUAUUCUGUUACAGUUGUUCUUUGGCAUCAUGUGUUACACAAACACUAUAGAUGGUUCAUAGCAAUAUUUAUGUACCGUGUCAAGCACAGUCUACCUGAAAGAGGGAAAUCACUGUGACACAGCCCUGGAGCUGAGUCACAGUGUCUGACGGGCCAGAAACAUAUGCCCUUCUGCAGUCUUUUCACUCUGUACAUAUUUAUAAAUGUCAAUAACUCUGCAUCUGAAAUGUCCCUCUAUCUUAAACUGCUAAAUAUAUUUUCCUGUAUUUUACAGAAAGUUCAUAUUUCCUCCAUGUAAGAUAUUGUGAAUUGUAAAUUUAAAGAACACAAAUGUGAAAUACUGUUGUCUAAGGCUUUUCAUAUAAGGCCUCUUUCUCCCAUCAUGGCCUUUGUGUGGCCACUAUGCCUCCAAUAAGCUGCCUGUCUUACCAGUAUUACUUCCUCCUCUGAAAUGUAGGCGAGUUUCACUCACACAGCUGGGUCUUUAUGCUAAAUGCUUCCAUCUCCUUGAUGGUGAUUAACGUUAAAAUGCCAGGAUGCCGUAUUGACAGCAAUGCUUCAGCCAUCAUUUGCCAUUAUUUCUUUUCAUUUUGACAUUGCUGAUGUCAUCGUAGGAUAUUCUGGAAUCCUGCGUCACUGCCUGCCCUACCAUGAGGUGACAUCAUUUUAGGGUUGUCCCUGAUUGGAGGUAUGGAAUUACACCACCGGUGAGACCUUCUCAGGGUGAACGGGCAUAAACAAAGCUCAGCCAUGAAACUGGCCUGUGAGAAACCAUGAAGACUAUCAGCACUGCACUGCCCCCGUGGAUGAAAGGGCCCCUCUAACCUCCAGAGAGGUUGGCCAGUCCAGUGAAGAGGGGGAAGAGGAUGAAAUGGAUGAAGCUGAUAUGAGAGGAUGGCUUGGUCACUUUGUCCCUGUCCAAUGGUGUGACAGGAAGCCCCUCCAGCUUCUCCUUGACACUGUGGAAAGAGACAUUAUAAAAAAGUAUGAAGCCAGCUUCUUGGAGGAAGCAGACAUCAUGCGGGAGCAAAUUUACUGCUGAUGCAUUUUCUUUCAAAAUUACAUUGUACUUCUAUACCCUGCAAUGGACUGGAAUUACAUCUAUGAUGUUCAGCUGCCUUGAGCCCAGUGCUUCCCGGCCGAGGCUCCAGGAUUCCCACAAGACCAGUUUGGAUAAUUGGUUGGAUGGAUUUUACUGUCUUCAUACAUGGAUGAUGCAUACCUAUCAGCUGUGGUAUAACUGCAGUUGACCUUAGACCCUUGUUUUCAUCCUCCAAGGUGAAUGUGAUAACAGGCAGUAUUGCACUGGAGGCAUUCAGAAAAUAUUACAGUAGAGUAGAGGAACUGGAGCUUAUAAUUGGAUGACCUAAUUAAGCCCAGUCAUGUGGACUGGCUGAUCUUUGCCAGUGGGAUUGUAGAGAUGAUACAGUAAGCUGAUACAUUGUCACUACAGUGAGGCCCUGAACUAUUGUCUGGGUUACUACCUUCCGGGGAGCAAGCAGAGGCCUCCGGCAUCUCAAUGCCCAGCCAUCACUGGGUAUCCCCUACAGACCACUGUACAGGCCUUCGAGUGCAAAGCUCACGGCAGCCAUAGUACGGAGUUUUAGUGAAGAUUGGGACCAUAUACACCAUGAACAUCAGAGAGCUUCCCUCAGCUGCUAAACCUGGGAGUAAUUGUGUUUCUUGAUCUAAAUGCAUUUAAGUGCAACAUCCGAAAAAGACCAUUAGAAUCCCAUGAUGACUAAUGCAAAGUGUAGCUGAGCAGUGAGCACCAUGCAUGCUGACAAAUUCACCCUCAAGACAGGAUGGAGACUAAAAUGAAUUAUUACAGUAAUGAGAAAUCAGUCAGCAGCCAAAGCUGAAUUACCAAAAUUACAGUUCAGCUGUUCAGUGACAGACAGAUUAAUGCUGGUAAUAUAGGAAAAGCAGGUCUGGUAAAAUGGAUGGAUGGAUAAAUUACUAUUAAUUUGUCAAAGCUAAUUGUACUGUUGGAAGAAAUGCUCCUAUAGGAGCAAAUAAUGGCCAGACUAUGAUGCUUCACUGAUAAAACACGAAAACAUUGCAGAAACAUUCCUCAAUGCAGUCAGGAAGCUGACUGAGUGUAAGCAUGUUAUUAAAGUGCAUUGUUGACUA
Non-coding RNA from Paramormyrops kingsleyae, 6665 nucleotides. The record is from RefSeq and is a predicted model, not a curated record. NCBI's taxonomy places the organism in Eukaryota, Metazoa, Chordata, Actinopteri, Osteoglossiformes, Mormyridae.